GUGCUGGUGCUGGUGCUGGUGCUGGUGCCUGUGCUUCCCCUAUAAUUGGAGUGGGAUUAUCUGGCAACUCUGAGCUAUGAGUCGGCGAAACUGAAGAAGACAUUACUCCAGCUGACUGAGAUAGAGCUGGUAGGGCUGAAGCUGGAGCUGCAGCUGCAGGUACUGCUGGUGGUGGCGGCGGCGGCGGCUUUGGAGGUGGAUCAACCUGUAAAUUCGGCUUCCCUUCUGGAUUUGGAUUCGCAGCAGCUAGAUUCGAAGCCGGAGUUGGAGUCCGAGUCUGUGUUCUGGCGCUCUCCUCUGCUAAAGCAUC
This 310-nucleotide unclassified non-coding RNA is filed under the name Hevea brasiliensis (rubber tree). The record is from RNAcentral. Lineage: Eukaryota; Viridiplantae; Streptophyta; Magnoliopsida; Malpighiales; Euphorbiaceae.